RNAcentral lists this ribosomal RNA (264 nucleotides) under uncultured archaeon. Its description in RNAcentral is "partial 16S ribosomal RNA". It matches the Rfam family "Archaeal small subunit ribosomal RNA", at positions 719 to 982 of the family's 1478-position model. The record is from RNAcentral.
AGACGUCUACAUUAAUACCCCCGGUAGUCCCAGCCGUAAACUAUGCGCGUUAGGUGUAUCGGUGACCACGAGUCACCGAGGUGCCGAAGGGAAACCGUGAAACGUGCCGCCUGGGAAGUACGGUCGCAAGGCUGAAACUUAAAGGAAUUGGCGGGGAGCACCACAACGGGUGGAGCCUGCGGUUUAAUUGGACUCAACGCCGGGAAGCUCACCGGAUAAGACAGCGGAAUGAUUGCCGGGCUGAAGACUCUGCAUGACUAGCUG